This 490-nucleotide ribosomal RNA is filed under the name uncultured bacterium. Its description in RNAcentral is "partial 16S ribosomal RNA". It matches the Rfam family "Bacterial small subunit ribosomal RNA", at positions 29 to 507 of the family's 1533-position model. The record is from RNAcentral.
AUUGAACGCUGGCGGCAGGCCUAACACAUGCAAGUCGAACGGUAACAGGAAGCAGCUUGCUGCUUCGCUGACGGGAGGCGGACGGGUGAGUAAGGACUGGGAAGCUGCCUGAUGGAGGGGGAGAACGACUGGAAACGGUAGCUAAUACCGCAGAAUGACGCAAGCGCAAAGAGGGGGGCUGUCGGGCCCCUAGCCAUCGGAUGCGCCCAGAGGGGUAUAGCUUGGUGGGGGGGUAACGGCACACCAAGGCGACGAUCCCUAGCGGGUCUGAGAGGAUGACCAGCCACCCUGGAACUGAGACACGGUCCAGACUCCUACGGGAGGCAGCAGUGGGGACUCUUGCACAAUGGGCGAAAGCCUGAUGCAGCCAUGCCGCGUGUAUGAAGAAGGCCUUCGGGUUGUAAAGUACUUUCAGCGGGGAGGAAGGGAGUAACGUUAAUACCUUUGCUCAUUGACGUUACCCGCAGAAGAAGCACCGGCUAACUCCGUG